RNA transcript from Molossus molossus (Pallas's mastiff bat), 4355 nucleotides. It is a transcript of the gene named beta-1,3-galactosyltransferase 4, with no coding region annotated. NCBI's taxonomy places the organism in Eukaryota, Metazoa, Chordata, Mammalia, Chiroptera, Molossidae. The transcript is spliced from 3 exons. The record is from RefSeq and is a predicted model, not a curated record.
UAUUCGUCAGCGGGGAGCUUCCGGGUGGCGGGGCAGCGACCAGGUUCCCUCUGACUGCGCCACACCAUGCCCUUCAGCCUCUUCCGGCGCCUUCUCCUUGCCGCCCUGCUGCUGGUGAUUGUCUGGACCCUCUUUGGGCCCUCGGGCCUCUGGGAGGAGCUGCUGAGCCUCUCGCUAGCCUCCCUGCUCCCAGCACCAGCCUCGCCAGGGCCGCCCCUGGACCUGCCCCGUCUCUUGAUACCCAACGAGGACGCCUGUGGUGGCCCCGGCGCCCCUCCCUUCCUGCUCAUCCUGGUGUGCACGGCCCCGGAGAACCUGAACCAAAGAAAUGCCAUUCGGGUCUCGUGGGGCGGGCAGCGCCAGGCCCAUGGGCUUAGGGUGCAGACUCUCUUUCUUUUGGGCGAGCCAAGCGGGCAGCACCCUGAAAACGACCUGGCACAGGAGGCAGCGGCCCAGGGGGACAUAUUGCAGGCGGCUUUCCAGGACUCCUACCGCAACCUUACUCUCAAGACGCUCAGUGGGCUGAACUGGGCGGAAAAACACUGCCCCAAGGCCCGCUACAUCCUCAAGACUGACGAUGAUGUGUUUGUCAACGUCCCAGAACUGGUAUCAGAGCUAGUCCGGCGAGGGGGCCGUUGGGAGCAAUGGGAGAGGGGCAUGGAGCCCCAGAGAGAGGCUGAGGCUGGAGAUGAAGAGUGGGAAGGAGACAGCCCCACCUUGGAGAGUCAGCCCAUGCCUCUUUUGUACCUGGGCCGUGUGCACUGGCGGGUGAACCCCUCUCGGACACCAGGGGGCAAGCACCAAAUAUCAGAGGAGCAGUGGCCUCCCACCUGGGGCCCUUUUCCACCCUAUGCCUCAGGCACAGGGUAUGUGCUAUCAGCCUCUGCUGUGCAGCUCAUCCUUAAAGUGGCUAGCGGGGUACCCCCUCUGCCACUGGAAGAUGUCUUUGUGGGGGUAAGUGCCCGACGAGGAGGUCUCACCCCAACCCACUGUGUCAAGCUGGCUGGUGCCACCCACUACCCCUUGGACCGGUGCUGCUAUGGGAAAUUCCUGCUGACAUCCCAUAGAUUGGACCCCUGGCAGAUGCAGAAAGCCUGGAAGCUGGUGGGCGGCCCUGAUGGGGAAAGGACUGCACCCUUCUGCUCGUGGCUCCAGGGAGUCCUGGGCAUCCUGCGGUGUCGGGUAAUAGCCUGGCUUCACAGCUGAGGAUCUGGGCCACCGGAGGCGUGAGGAGCCGGGGUCCAGCAAACACCCCCACAACCUUUCUCCCAGGCCCAAGGCAACUGGCUGUAACUGAACAGUUCCCUCAUACCAGAUGCUCAGUCACUGAAGACUGAAGGAUACCUAGGACCCGGCCGGCCAGCCCCAAAGAUGGUCGUGAGGAAAGUAAAACAAUGCUGGGGUCAUCCUCCUGAUCCAUGAUGAGGAAACUGAAGCUCACAGGAAGGAAAGCCGGGUGAGAGGUAGAGUUGGAAUUCAAGGCAGGCCUAUUUCUUCAGCAUCUGCUCUCUUACCGACUCAAGACAUGAACCAAAGGGAAAGCGCACAUGACAGGUGUACCUAAAUGUGACGUCCCACUGCACAGGCAGCACGGCGGCUUGGCAAAGGGAAGGAUCAGGAAGGGUCAACUGCAAUGAUCAGGGAGGACUUCCUGAGAAAACUGGGAUAUGAGCCAUUCUCGGUAAUCCUCAAGAAAGCAGAAGAAGAAGUACAGCAGGUACAAAUGAAUGAUCAGUGAAGAGAUGGAGAAGCGGAGGCGGAGGUGUGUUUUCAGGACUGGAGAUUCCAGGAACAUCUGGAGGGGACAAGUUGCAGGGACUCUUUCAAGUCAGACUAAGGCCCUAACCCCCAGACAUGCCCUCUGGCAAUAACAAGCCACUGCAUGGACCUGAGAAAACCUUAGGAGGUAACACGUCAUGUGCCAGAGGGCCCUACCCCAGCCCCUUUCCCUGGAGGGCCAGGCUGCUGAUCAGAUCCUCUCAAGGAAUCGGGCAGUGCACAACUUGUUUCUUCCCAGAGGUUGGAGUUUCUGCCUGUGUUCAAGUUGUUCCUCAGAGAGGGAGGCUGAGGAGGAACCAGCCACACCAGGAGGAAGGGGCAGAAGAGUUCCUAAGAGCAAAGAUGCCCUAUGAUGGGGCCAAACAGAGGCCCACCUGGAUACUUCUCCUGACAAGACCAUCAGGGCCCCAGGUCCACCCAAAGGAAAGGCUGUCGGUGCAAACCAGGAAUUACUGAGGGCUCCUGGGACACAGGGCUACACCCCUCAGUGAACCAACAACUCUGGCUCCUCACCCACUGUGCAAAUAGCAGCCCACUGGCCAGAUGGGCACCCAGGCCACACUACCAUGUUACUAAACUUGUAGGAACAGUUCAGCUUGGAGAAUAUAAUCCUAAUGCAAGCUUCCAGAAAGCCUCUCAAGGAAGUUGGUAAGGCUCAUCUCUGGAGCCCCUGUGGCUUGUCUGAGGCUCUUUGGGUGGACCAGAGAUAAGUGGAGUUGGGCCUAAGAUCAAAGACCAGAGCUGUUCAGCAUCUAAGUGUUGAGCAUACCUCAGUGAGUGAGCUGAUUAAGCCCUGAGAACAGGAGCAGCUGACCCAGGCAGCCCCAGAAGGCAGAAAGCCUCAGGGCAGGCCUCUGCACUCUCCUACAGCCAAGCUGGCAGGGCUAGGGAGCCAAAAGGGUGGAACCAAAUCACUUGACCGCAAAGACACAACUCUGGGAGUCUAAGGGGUCUGAAUCUCUGGAAGGCUUUCAUAAGCUGGUGGCCACUGCACUUUUCCUUUUCCAGAUUUCCUUUAAAACAAUUUAAAAAUAAAGUUAUAUAGUUUAUAUUUAGUGUAGAAGAUUCCUGAGCAGCAGUGUCAAUGGAAGAAAGCAGCUUGUGGGAAAGAUUAUUCUGACACCCGUGGGACAAGGCAGGAGGAAACACUGGAGGCUGGAAACUGGCUACAAGCACCACACAAGCCUAAGCAAGCCCACCGAGACAGCAGGAUCAGAGAGAAGCAGACCUGGAGGGACCUUUGAGGGGAAAGGCAGUCCAGACUUCACAGGGGAUCAUGACUAGCAGAGCCUGGGCACCCAGAAAGCACUCGGGAAACAGUGCUUUUGAUUCCUGCUUUUCCCAUUGCUAAGAAACAUGGGCUGUGUAGCUAGCUAAAGUGUCCAAGAAGUUAAAUGGUGCAUGACAGGAUAAUGUGGCAGAAAAGGAGCAGGCAAGGAGGAACCCUGGGAGUGGGUGUCCCAUCCAGUGAUGGACACAUCAAUUCUGGCGUGACAGAAAACAACUGAAUAGCAACUAAAUGUCCCACCUAGCCCAUCAUUCCAGUAAAGAAAAUGUAACUGGAUCACUGCACCAGGGCAGCCUCAAUGGCUGAUUCAUCCUUAUACCCCAGAACCUUAGCACAGAGCCCAGCACGCAGCAGGUGCCCAAAUGAAGGCCUGAUGAAUGAAAGGAAUUAGAGGAAAUACACAGGAAUUUGUGUGAAAAGCUGUCUACCAGAUCCAGACAUAUAUACAGUCAGAAAGGAUAGCUAUGAAAUGCAAAUACUCUCUCAGGAAGAACAGAAAUGCAAAGCAGACCCACCACCCUACCCCUGACACCACUAGCCAGACCCAAAGAGAACGACUGUCUCUAACCGUGACAAUGAAGCACAGCGCUCCCUGUUCCCGGGGCACCAUGCUAAACUCUAUGUGCCUUAAGUCAUUUUACUGUCUACAACAGUUUAAGCCAGGCCUUGGCAAACAAAUCCAACCCGCCACCCAUUUCUGCACCGCCCACAGCUAAGAAUGACUUUUACAUUAAGUGGUUGGGGAAAAGUCAAAAGAAGAAUAUUUCCAUAUGAGAAAAUCAUAUGAAAUUGUAUCUACAAAUAAAGUUUUAUUAGAACACAACCACAUUCAUUCAUCUACUGCUUUUGUACUACAUUAGCACAGUAGAGGGAUCAAGAGAGACACUAUGUCAUUGGAUCACUUCACACUGCUGCUGGAGUCACAGUGACAUGGUUAUAACUUGACAGCACUUUGAGCACCUCCCAGACACCUAUCUCAUUACCUGCCUGUGUGGAAGAUGUUUUCAAAGGUAAAAUAUGCCAAGUCUCUCUAUAGAUCAGUAUUAACACAUAAACAUUUGCAGUAGAGUUGGAUGACUUGGAACACUAACUUUGAAUAUCAGUUAAGUAAAAUAUCCUCAAAAAGAGGAAUCCAACUGUUCCCAUUAGUAGACCUGUAUUUGAAAAAUAUUGUAUUCAAUUAUUACAUCUUGAAUUUCAUUGCUUAAGUUUGUGAUAUUGCCCUGGCCGGUAUGGCUCAGCAGACCAAAGAGUCUCGGUCCACAGACCAAAGAGUCACAGGUUUGGU